UUAAAUGAUGAGCUUGACCACUUAUGAAGCUAGAUGAUAUAAUAAAGGUAGCCGCUGAG
This 59-nucleotide small nucleolar RNA is filed under the name Saccharolobus solfataricus P2. Its description in RNAcentral is "Sulfolobus solfataricus P2 Small nucleolar RNA sR11". It matches the Rfam family "Small nucleolar RNA sR11". The record is from Rfam by way of RNAcentral. Lineage: Archaea; Thermoproteati; Thermoproteota; Thermoprotei; Sulfolobales; Sulfolobaceae.